GUAGUUAAUCGAGGAGGCGGAGAGUAGUAUUAGCAUUAGUUUUUCUGUUCAAUGAGGCAAAUCUAUAGUGGUAGAAGAGAUGUUAUGUUUUCUGUUAGCUUAUCUUGAUUACAUUUGGGAGACUUUGGUUAAUCUCGAUGAGAUUGUCUUUAAAUGAGGAGGCCGAGAGUAAUAUUAGCAUUAGAUUUUUUGUUCUAUCAGACAAUCCUAUUGAAGGGAUUUUGGGUUUUGUUUGUGUUUUGAGUUGGCGUCUAUGGAGUACAUUUAGAGACAGUUGUGGUUAAUCUGGAGGAGAAUGUAGUCGAUUGAGUAGUCGGAGAAUAGUGUUAGCAUUAUUUUGUUGUUCAAUAAACAAUUUGUACUAAAUAAAGGUUUUUGGGUUUUGUGUUGGUCUACAUGAAGUGCAUUUGGAGACAGUUGUGGUUCAUCUUGAUGAGAAUGUAGUUGACUGAGGAGGCAGAGAGUAGUGUUAGCAUUAUUUUUAUUGUUCAAUGGGAUAAUUCUAUAGCGAAUGAAGAUAUUUUCAGUUUUAUAUGUGUUGUGUUAGCUUUUGUGGUGUACAUUCGGGAGACCUUGUGGUUAAUGUUGAUAAGAAUGUAGUUGAUCAAGGCGGCGGAGAAUAGUGCUAGUAUUAAUUUUCUGUUCAAUGGACAAUUCUGUAGUGAUAGAAGGAAAUUUGGGUUUGAUGUAGAUCAAAGUGACACUACUUCAAAGAGGUCUGUCACAAGGAGUCGAGCUAAGGACCUUCAAGCAUUGCAAGCUUUAUGGGUGAAAAUGGAAUAUUUGGAAGACUCCAACAUGGAAGACUAGAAGAUAUAUUAAAUGCUCUACCAUUUUAACUAGCUCGUAAUUUUAGCGAAGGGUAAUUUGGUCUUUCUUUACUACUUUUAACCUUAGUAUAAAUAGUAGAAUAUUAGGGUUACAUAAUGAGUUUUUGACAUUUGAAAAUUGUGCCGCCGGUGGGGGGAUGAGACGAAUUUCAACACUGUGUCCUUGGAUUUGCAAGUAAGAUUUCUAUCUUAUUGAGGAUUCUAAUAAAUUAGAUGCACUUUAUUCCCAAUUAAGUUAUGUUUUGGUUGGUUUCUCCACUACAUCUUUUGAUUGUUUUAUAUAGUUGCGUCUAUCUCUCUUUAAUUCCUAUCUUAUCGUUUUAUUUUCUUGUUUUAAAUUAGGGGUUUAUUUGUGUUUUUGUGUUUGCUUAGGUGGAGUACUUUCGGGAGAUGUUGGGGUUAAUCUUGAUGAUAAGUAGUUAAUUGAGGAGGGGGAAAGUAAUAUUAGUUAUUAAUUUAUCUGUUCAAUGGGACAAUCCUAUAGCGAUACAAGGGAUUUUGAGUUUUAUUUGUGUUAGCUUAUGUGGAGUCCAUUCCGGAGAUGUUGUGGUUAAUCUCGAUAAGAAUGUAGUUAAUUGUGGAGGUGGAGAGUAGUAUUAGCAUUAGUUUUUUUGUUCAAUGGGACAGUCAUAUAGCAAUAGAAGGGAUUUUGUGUUUUAUUUGUGUUAGCUUCUGCGGAGU
Molecule: long non-coding RNA, 1511 nt
Filed under: Capsicum annuum
Lineage: Eukaryota; Viridiplantae; Streptophyta; Magnoliopsida; Solanales; Solanaceae
Description: long non-coding RNA (CANN_LNC010802)
Source: RNAcentral